RNAcentral lists this ribosomal RNA (274 nucleotides) under uncultured bacterium. Its description in RNAcentral is "partial 16S ribosomal RNA". It matches the Rfam family "Bacterial small subunit ribosomal RNA", at positions 523 to 796 of the family's 1533-position model. The record is from RNAcentral.
AUACGGAGGGUGCGAGCGUUACUCGGAAUAACUGGGCGUAAAGCGCACGUAGGCGGAAUGUUAAGUUAGAGGUGAAAUCCCAGGGCUCAACCCUGGAACGGCCUUUAAUACUGGCAAUCUAGAGACCGAGAGAGGUGAGUGGAAUUCCGAGUGUAGAGGUGAAAUUCGUAGAUAUUCGGAGGAACACCAGUGGCGAAGGCGGCUCACUGGCUCGGUACUGACGCUGAGGUGCGAAAGCGUGGGGAGCAAACAGGAUUAGAAACCCUAGUAGUCC